GGUGAAAAGUCAGUUAGUUAUCAAGUCCACAGCAACAGAAAAACGAUUUGUUGAUGUUCUAGCCCUACACACCUUGUUCAGUCGUCAAAAGCGUGAGAGCUAGCUGACCAAACGGAGUCAAAUCAAUCGCCUUACUAUGAUAAAGCACGCUAUUUUUGUCUAUAUUUUUGUUUCUCUGAUGCUUGGUUCUUUCGCCCAUCCCAUUUUAAGAACAAGAUUGUCGCAAGACGUGUCAGGCACAAGGCAAUUACUGGAAGAACCUGGGAUGACGAAGUGUCCUCAUCCAAGCGACAUCCAUUUUUGCACAUUCGAGUUUCUUUAUAAUGAAGCAUGUUACGAAGGAACUGAAGAGUUUAAAAUAAGAUGCCAAAACUUCUGUAAUGGAUUGUGCAGAAUUUAUGGAACUCUUUCAUAACUAGCGAGCCGAGUUAUUGUUCUUUUAAAACCAAGUAAAGCAGUCUUAUUAAUCCCGUUAACAAAUAAUGAACAUAAUGAUUUUCUCUCGAACGUGAUGCCAUCAGCAUGCACAUUUUAGAAUGAUAACCCUUGCCGUCAUCGUGAAACAGAUCUUUUUGAUGAAUGCAUUUAAUGGAAUAAAAUGUGGCUUCUUACAACAACCACUUUUUCUAUCUUCAAAUGA
Long non-coding RNA from Pocillopora verrucosa, 640 nucleotides. RefSeq lists it as uncharacterized. The record is from RefSeq and is a predicted model, not a curated record. NCBI's taxonomy places the organism in Eukaryota, Metazoa, Cnidaria, Anthozoa, Scleractinia, Pocilloporidae.